UAGGGAAUCUUCCGCAAUGGGCGAAAGCCUGACGGAGCAACGCCGCGUGAGUGAUGAAGGUUUUCGGAUCGUAAAGCUCUGUUGCCAGGGAAGAACGCUUGGGAGAGUAACUGCUCCCAAGGUGACGGUACCUGAGAAGAAAGCCCCGGCUAACUACGUGCCAGCAGCCGCGGUAAUACGUAGGGGGCAAGCGUUGUCCGGAAUUAUUGGGCGUAAAGCGCGCGCAGGCGGCUGAUUAAGUCUGGUGUUUAAUCCCGGAGCUCAACUCCGGGUCGCACGGGAAACUGGUUGGCUUGAGUACAGAAGAGGAAAGUGGAAUUCCACGUGUAGCGGUGAAAUGCGUAGAGAUGUGGAGGAACACCAGUGGCGAAGGCGACUUUCUGGGCUGUAACUGACGCUGAGGCGCGAAAGCGUGGGGAGCAAACA
Molecule: ribosomal RNA, 426 nt
Filed under: uncultured Paenibacillus sp.
Lineage: Bacteria; Bacillati; Bacillota; Bacilli; Caryophanales; Paenibacillaceae
Description: bacterial SSU rRNA
Rfam family: Bacterial small subunit ribosomal RNA
Source: RNAcentral